Coprinopsis marcescibilis is the source of this 90-nucleotide non-coding RNA. Lineage: Eukaryota; Fungi; Basidiomycota; Agaricomycetes; Agaricales; Psathyrellaceae. The record is from the annotation of a GenBank genome assembly.
GCAUCAAUGGGGUAGUGGUAACCUGGGUCGUUGCCAUUUGGGACUUGCGUUUGUCUCGACCCGCCGGGGGUUCGAUUCCCUCUUGAUGCA